RNAcentral lists this long non-coding RNA (229 nucleotides) under Mytilus galloprovincialis (Mediterranean mussel). Lineage: Eukaryota; Metazoa; Mollusca; Bivalvia; Mytilida; Mytilidae. The record is from RNAcentral.
UGGAAAACAUAAACUGAUCACGAAUGUGUCAGAAGAGAUAGUAGUAAGCAUUAUCUACUUAAGAGUUAUGAUUAGUCAUAUGCCACUAGAAACUAUUACAGCAAAAUGCAAUGAGUGUGUAGGAAAAAGUAAUACCUUUGACUAGCUUGCUUGCUAGCUGGACCGUGAAGUCAUAACAAAGUAAAGUAGGUUACCCUCCUUUCGGAGUAGUCUAGUUGGCCAAACGAUG